CAUGCGAGUCGCGAGAAUUAGAUUCUCGGCGUACCGCUCAGUAACACGUGGGUAACCUGCCCUAUGCUGGAUAAUAACCUCGGGAAACUGAGAAUAAUGAUCCAUAGUUCACUACGCCUGGAACGGUGAGUGGAUGAAAGCUCCGGCGGCAUAGGAUGGGCCUGCGGCGUAUCAGGUUGUAGGGGGUGUAACGUACCCUCUAGCCCUCUACGCGUACGGGUGUUGGGAGACAUAGCCCGGAGAUGGAUUCUGAGACACGAAUCCAGACCCUACGGGGUGCAGCAGGCGCGAAAACUUGGCAAUGCGAGAAAUCGUGACCAGGGAACUCCAAGUGCAUCGGGUAAGACCGGUGCUUUUCUUGACUCUAAAUAGGUCUUGGAAUAAGGGGUGGGUAAGGACGGUGCCAGCCGCCGCGGUAAUACCGGCGCCUCAAGUGGUAGUCGCUUUUAUUGGGCCUAAAAACGUUCCGGUAGCCGGUCCUGAUACAUUUCCUGGGGGUAAAAUCAAACCAGACUCCAACUUGGAUGAAUUUCUG
This 535-nucleotide ribosomal RNA is filed under the name uncultured archaeon. Its description in RNAcentral is "bacterial SSU rRNA". It matches the Rfam family "Archaeal small subunit ribosomal RNA", at positions 50 to 589 of the family's 1478-position model. The record is from RNAcentral.